RNAcentral lists this ribosomal RNA (301 nucleotides) under uncultured bacterium. RNAcentral's name for it is "partial 16S ribosomal RNA". It matches the Rfam family "Bacterial small subunit ribosomal RNA", at positions 509 to 807 of the family's 1533-position model. The record is from RNAcentral.
CAGUCGCCGCGGUAAUACGGAGGAUCCAAGCGUUAUCCGGAUUUAUUGGGUUUAAAGGGUGCGUAGGUGGCCUGUUAAGUCAGGGGUGAAAGACGGUAGCUCAACUAUCGCAGUGCCCUUGAUACUGAUGGGCUUGAAUGAACUAGAGGUAGGCGGAAUGUGACAAGUAGCGGUGAAAUGCAUAGAUAUGUCACAGAACACCAAUUGCGAAGGCAGCUUACUAUGGUUUUAUUGACACUGAGGCACGAAAGCGUGGGGAUCAAACAGGAUUAGAUACCCCAGUAGUCCCUGUCUCUUAUAC